ACAGACACAACAAAUUGGCGAUGAAUAUGAACUUGAAUAUCAGCGAAUAUCACCAACUACACCGACAGUUACAAGACAACUGAAUUCGGAGUAAAGGAGAGAAACAGUGAGAGGGAAGAGUGAACCAAUACAGAGAAGGUAGCCCUGGAUGCUAGAAAAAGACGUAGUACUGGCAAACUGUGACUUAAUCCUGGCUGGAUCCGCAAGAAUGGGUGAGAAGGGGCCUCGCUGAGAAUCCCAGGGAAGCUCAAGUACUGGAAACAGUCCCACUUGGCCGGCAGACUGGUAACAGACAAUAAUGGAGCUCAUUAGAUUGAUAGUAAUCUGCUGUCUCUGGACUCUGAUCAAAUCAGGUGCUGGUGACUGAGUCAGUCUAAACAUCCAGGGCUAAUUACGAGCAUCUAAGAUUCUCUAUUAACCCAGAGCAGGACAGAGUCACCUCGGAUGAGUUUCCACCAGCUCCAUUUUAAAGGCCUGCAGUCCCAAGAGAACAGAUCACAGUUGGGCCCAGCUUUUCACAUUUGGGAGCUGCUAUGGGACUCUGCUGAGCUUAAAUCUACCAAUGUAUUGAUGCAAUAAAACUAGCAACGGCACAGAAGAUUGCCUGGAUUGAAAAGCGAGUGGAGAGUUUCAAGAUGUGAGAAGAGGAGUAAUGGAUAAAAAGCUCUCAGCAGAAAAGACUAUUUCCUCAGUAUGAUCAGCAACCUGAGAGACAUGCAGACUCCAUAUAGACAGCACCCGAGGGACGCGCAGACUCCAUAUAGACAGCACCCAAGGAACGUGCAGACGCCAUAUAGACAGCACCCGAGAAACGUGCAGAUGCCAUAUAGACAGCACCCGAGAGACAUGCAGACUCCAUAUAGACAGCACCCGAGGGACGUGCAGAGUGCAGAUAGACAGCACCUGAGGGACGUGCAGACUCCAUUUAGACAGCACCCAAGGUUUGUAUUGAGUCUCUGGCAUGGCGGUACA
Molecule: long non-coding RNA, 972 nt
Organism: Hypanus sabinus (Atlantic stingray)
Lineage: Eukaryota; Metazoa; Chordata; Chondrichthyes; Myliobatiformes; Dasyatidae
Exons: 3
Source: RefSeq, a predicted model, not a curated record